RNAcentral lists this ribosomal RNA (202 nucleotides) under uncultured bacterium. RNAcentral describes it as "partial 16S ribosomal RNA". It matches the Rfam family "Bacterial small subunit ribosomal RNA", at positions 1298 to 1500 of the family's 1533-position model. The record is from RNAcentral.
UUGAAGGCUGAAAUUCGCCUUCAUGAAGCCGGAAUUGCUAGUAAUGGCAGGUCAGCAUACUGCCGUGAAUACGUUCCCGGGCCCUUGUACACACCGCCCGUCACACCAUGAGAGUUGGGAAUACCCGAAGCCUGUGAGCUAACGUAAGAGGCAGCAGUCGAAGGUAGAAUCAAUGAUUGGGGUGAAGUCGUAACAAGGUAGC